ACACAUGCAGUGAGCGCGCUUCGGGUGAGCGGCGGACGGGUUAGUAACGCGUGGGAACGUGCCCUUCUCUACGGAAUAGCCUCUGGAAACGGAGAGUAAUACCGUAUACGCCCUUUGGGGGAAAGAUUUAUCGGAGAAGGAUCGGCCCGCGUUAGAUUAGGUAGUUGGUGGGGUAACGGCCUACCAAGCCUACGAUCUAUAGCUGGUUUUAGAGGAUGAUCAGCAACACUGGGACUGAGACACGGCCCAGACUCCUACGGGAGGCAGCAGUGGGGAAUCUUAGACAAUGGGGGCAACCCUGAUCUAGCCAUGCCGCGUGAGUGAUGAAGGCCUUAGGGUCGUAAAGCUCUUUCGCCUGUGAUGAUAAUGACAGUAGCAGGUAAAGAAACCCCGGCUAACUCCGUGCCAGCAGCCGCGGUAAUACGGAGGGGGUUAGCGUUGUUCGGAAUUACUGGGCGUAAAGCGCGCGUAGGCGGAUUAGAAAGUUGGGGGUGAAAUCCCGGGGCUCAAACCCGGAACUGGCUCCAAAACUGCUAGUCUAGAGUUCGAGAGAGGUGAGUGGAAUUCCGAGUGUAGAGGUGAAAUUCGUAGAUAUUCGGAGGAACACCAGUGGCGAAGGCGGCUCACUGGCUCGAUACUGACGCUGAGGUGCGAAAGUGUGGGGAGCAAACAGGAUUAGAUAACCUGGUAG
This 691-nucleotide ribosomal RNA is filed under the name uncultured Ruegeria sp. Its description in RNAcentral is "bacterial SSU rRNA". It matches the Rfam family "Bacterial small subunit ribosomal RNA", at positions 67 to 793 of the family's 1533-position model. The record is from RNAcentral. Lineage: Bacteria; Pseudomonadati; Pseudomonadota; Alphaproteobacteria; Rhodobacterales; Roseobacteraceae.